RNAcentral lists this ribosomal RNA (253 nucleotides) under uncultured bacterium. RNAcentral describes it as "partial 16S ribosomal RNA". It matches the Rfam family "Bacterial small subunit ribosomal RNA", at positions 524 to 776 of the family's 1533-position model. The record is from RNAcentral.
UACGUAGGUGGCAAGCGUUAUCCGGAUUUACUGGGCGUAAAGGGCGUGUAGGCGGGAAAGCAAGUCAGAUGUGAAAACCAUGGGCUCAACCUGUGGCCUGCAUUUGAAACUGUUUUUCUUGAGUACUGGAGAGGCAGACGGAAUUCCUAGUGUAGCGGUGAAAUGCGUAGAUAUUAGGAGGAACACCAGUGGCGAAGGCGGUCUGCUGGACAGCAACUGACGCUGAGGCGCGAAAGCGUGGGGAGCAAACAGG